This 484-nucleotide ribosomal RNA is filed under the name uncultured bacterium. RNAcentral describes it as "partial 16S ribosomal RNA". It matches the Rfam family "Bacterial small subunit ribosomal RNA", at positions 28 to 523 of the family's 1533-position model. The record is from RNAcentral.
GACGAACGCUGGCGGCGUGCUUAACACAUGCAAGUCGAACGAUGAAGCCGGAGCUUGCUCUGGUGAAUUAGUGGCGAACGGGUGAGUAACACGUGAGUAACCUGCCCUUGACUCUGGGAUAACUGCGGGAAACUGUAGCUAAUACCGGAUACGACCCUCGGAGGCAUCUCCUGGGGGUGGAAAGAAUUUCGGUCAAGGAUGGACUCGCGGCCUGUCAGCUAGUUGGUGAGGUAAAGGCUCACCAAGGCGACGACGGGUAGCCGGCCUGAGAGGGUGACCGGCCACACGGGGACUGAGACACGGCCCAGACUCCGACGGGAGGCAGCAGUGGGGAAUAUUGCACAAUGGGCGCAAGCCUGAUGCAGCAACGCCGCGUGAGGGAUGACGGCCUUCGGGUUGUAAACCUCUUUUAGCAGGGAAGAAGCGAAAGCGACGGUACCUGCAGAAAAAGCACCGGCUAACUACGUGCCAGCCGCCGCCGUAA